ACACAUGCAAGUCGAACGAGAUCUUCGGAUCUAGUGGCGCACGGGUGCGUAACGCGUGGGAAUCUGCCCUUGGGUACGGAAUAACUCAGAGAAAUUUGUGCUAAUACCGUAUAAUGUCUUCGGACCAAAGAUUUAUCGCCCAAGGAUGAGCCCGCGUAGGAUUAGCUAGUUGGUGAGGUAAAAGCUCACCAAGGCGACGAUCCUUAGCUGGUCUGAGAGGAUGAUCAGCCACACUGGGACUGAGACACGGCCCAGACUCCUACGGGAGGCAGCAGUGGGGAAUAUUGGACAAUGGGCGAAAGCCUGAUCCAGCAAUGCCGCGUGAGUGAUGAAGGCCCUAGGGUUGUAAAGCUCUUUUACCCGGGAUGAUAAUGACAGUACCGGGAGAAUAAGCUCCGGCUAACUUCGUGCCAGCAGCCGCGGUAAUACGAGGGGAGCUAGCGUUGUUCGGAAUUACUGGGCGUAAAGCGCGCGUAGGCGGUUUUUUAAGUCAGAGGUGAAAGCCCGGGGCUCAACCCCGGAAUUGCCUUUGAAACUGGAAAACUAGAAUCUUGGAGAGGUCAGUGGAAUUCCGAGUGUAGAGGUGAAAUUCGUAGAUAUUCGGAAGAACACCAGUGGCGAAGGCGACUGACUGGACAAGUAUUGACGCU
Molecule: ribosomal RNA, 650 nt
Filed under: unidentified microorganism
Description: bacterial SSU rRNA
Rfam family: Bacterial small subunit ribosomal RNA
Source: RNAcentral